This 259-nucleotide long non-coding RNA is filed under the name Ananas comosus (pineapple). Its description in RNAcentral is "long non-coding RNA (ACOM_LNC033607)". Lineage: Eukaryota; Viridiplantae; Streptophyta; Magnoliopsida; Poales; Bromeliaceae. The record is from RNAcentral.
GGGAAGCUUGUCUUAACAAAAAACGAGAAGCAGAACGAAAACAAGCAGAAGCUGAGAAAGAUGUAGAAGAGGUAAGGAAGAAGAAAAAAGAGAGAAAGAUACAAGAAGCUUCGAAAAAAGAAGAAAGAAGAAGUGAAGAAAAAGAAAGAGAAGAAGAAGAGGAAUAGGGGAGAGAAGAAGAAAGGGGAAAAGAAAGUGAAGAGGAACAAAGAAAAGGAAAUGGUAAAGAAAAAGGAGUAGGCACGGUCUUUCCUACCGA